Molecule: ribosomal RNA, 253 nt
Filed under: uncultured prokaryote
Description: partial 16S ribosomal RNA
Rfam family: Bacterial small subunit ribosomal RNA
Source: RNAcentral
ACGAAGGGGGCUAGCGUUGUUCGGAAUUACUGGGCGUGAAGGGCGCGCAGGCGGCCCUCCAAGUCAGGUGUGAAAGCCCCGGGCUCAACCCGGGAAUUGCACUUGAGACUGGGGGGCUUGAGUUCGGGAGAGGAGAGUGGAAUUCCCAGUGUAGAGGUGAAAUUCGUAGAUAUUGGGAAGAACACCGGUGGCGAAGGCGGCUCUCUGGACCGACACUGACGCUGAGGCGCGAAAGCGUGGGGAGCAAACAGGA